UUGGUCAAUGGGCGCAGGCCUGAACCAGCCAAGUAGCGUGAAGGAUGACUGCCCUAUGGGUUGUAAACUUCUUUUAUAAAGGAAUAAAGUCGGGUAUGUAUACCCGUUUGCAUG
Molecule: ribosomal RNA, 114 nt
Filed under: uncultured bacterium
Lineage: Bacteria
Description: partial 16S ribosomal RNA
Rfam family: Bacterial small subunit ribosomal RNA
Source: RNAcentral